UGUAUCCUACGGGAGGCAGCAGUAGGGAAUAUUGCUCAAUGGGGGAAACCCUGAAGCAGCAACGCCGCGUGGAGGAUGAAGAUUUUCGGAUUGUAAACUCCUUUUGUUAGAGAAGAUAAUGACGGUAUCUAACGAAUAAGCCACGGCUAACUACGUGCCAGCAGCCGCGGUAAUACGUAGGUGGCAAGCGUUGUCCGGAUUUACUGGGUGUAAAGGGCGUGUAGCCGGGCUGACAAGUCAGAUGUGAAAUCCGGGGGCUCAACCCCCGAACUGCAUUUGAAACUGUUGGUCUUGAGUAUCGGAGA
This 305-nucleotide ribosomal RNA is filed under the name uncultured bacterium. Its description in RNAcentral is "bacterial SSU rRNA". It matches the Rfam family "Bacterial small subunit ribosomal RNA", at positions 333 to 655 of the family's 1533-position model. The record is from RNAcentral.